This 254-nucleotide ribosomal RNA is filed under the name uncultured bacterium. RNAcentral's name for it is "partial 16S ribosomal RNA". It matches the Rfam family "Bacterial small subunit ribosomal RNA", at positions 526 to 779 of the family's 1533-position model. The record is from RNAcentral.
CGGAGGGUGCAAGCGUUAUCCGGAUUCACUGGGUUUAAAGGGUGCGUAGGCGGGCAGGUAAGUCAGUGGUGAAAUCUUGGGGCUUAACCCCGAACUGCCGUUGAUACUAUCUGUCUUGAAUACCCGGGAGGUGAGCGGAAUAUGUCAUGUAGCGGUGAAAUGCUUAGAUAUGACAUAGAACACCAAUUGCGAAGGCAGCUCACUACAGGGACUUAUUGACGCUGAGGCACGAAAGCGUGGGAUCAAACAGGAUU